RNAcentral lists this unclassified non-coding RNA (221 nucleotides) under Cercospora agavicola. Its description in RNAcentral is "partial internal transcribed spacer region". The stretch from base 1 to 46 matches the Rfam family "Eukaryotic small subunit ribosomal RNA", at positions 1786 to 1831 of the family's 1831-position model. Lineage: Eukaryota; Fungi; Ascomycota; Dothideomycetes; Mycosphaerellales; Mycosphaerellaceae. The record is from RNAcentral.
AAGUCGUAACAAGGUCUCCGUAGGUGAACCUGCGGAGGGAUCAUUACUGAGUGAGGGCCUUCGGGCUCGACCUCCAACCCUUUGUGAACACAACUUGUUGCUUCGGGGGCGACCUUGCCGUUUCGACGGCGAGCGCCCCCGGAGGCCUUCAAACACUGCAUCUUUGCGUCGGAGUUUAAGUAAAUUAAACAAAACUUUCAACAACGGAUCUCUUGGUUCUG